Molecule: long non-coding RNA, 1446 nt
Filed under: Anser brachyrhynchus (Pink-footed goose)
Lineage: Eukaryota; Metazoa; Chordata; Aves; Anseriformes; Anatidae
Description: lncRNA (ENSABRG00000019398.1)
Source: RNAcentral
GGGGGGGAAUUGUCCCCCUGCUUGGCUGCUGCGAGCGUCCUACAGCAGUGCCGCCACCCCCAGGGCUUGGCACCACAACGGGUCACAGCCCAGAGGUGGCUUUUUUCCUCUAGCACAAGGUGAAUUGGGGUUGGGGGGCACCCUAAUUGUCCCUCCAGCCUAACCCUGGGGCGCACAGCGGGGCGUCCGCCACUUCCCACCCUGCCUCAGUUUCCCCAGCUGCGUGCUGAGACCGACCCCAAAGUGCCUGCACCCCCCCUUAACCCAACCUGGGGCACCCCAAGGCUUUGGAUCCCCCCCUGUGCCCCCCCUCUCCCCCCCAAGGGCGCAAAGCCGCUCACCUGGGUGCCGGGGGACCCCCGGGGCGCUGCGGGUGCCGCUGGCUGCUCGCUCGGCUCAACUUUGGCCGGGAGCCGUGGGUGGCACCCGCCGCGCCCCGGCGGCCUCCUGCGCCUCGCCCGGCCCCGCCGCACGCUGCCAGCUGCUGUGGGUGUGCACCGGGAGCCCCCGGCCCCUAAACCGGCACCCCCAGGAGGGUCCUGAGCCCCCCCCAGGUGCCGUGAGACCCCCUCGGUGCUGCCGUGAGGACCCCUGCCCGCUCCCCCCCCUUGUGCUGUGCGCGGGCACCCGGCUCUUAGCCAGCUCCUCUGGCCCCGGUGCCAACCACGUCCUGGGGACCUGGCUGUCCUCGACGUCCUGCUGGGCUGGAUCCCCUUCUGUCCUGGAUUCCCAGCUAUCCUGGGGCCCUGUCCUUCCUGGAUCCCAAAACGCCCUGGAUCUGGCCACUGCGGACCCCCCUCCAUCCCAGGUCCCCUCCAUCCCGGAUCCCCUCCAUCUCAGAUCCCCUCCAUCCCCGAUCUCCUCCAUCCCAUAUCCCCCCAGUUCUCCAUCCCCCUCCAUCCCGGAUCCCCCUCCGUUCCCAAUCCCCCUCCAUCCUAGAUCCCCUCCAUCCUGGAUGCCUUCCAUCCCGACCCCCUCCAUCCCUGAUAUUCCUCCAUCUCAGAUCCCAUCUGUCAUGGAUCCCCUCCUUCCCAGAUCCUCUCCAUCCUGGAUCCCCUCCAUCCCAGAUCCCCUCCAGCCUCAAUCCCCUUCCAUCCCCAAUCCCCCUCCAACCUGGAUCCCCUCCAUCCUCAAUCCCUCUCCAUCCCAGAUCCCCUCCAUCCCAAAUCCCCUCUCUUUUUUGGGAGCAUCACAGCAGUGUUACGGCUCCACGUGAUUCAGGCACAACGCCUCCCCGAAAGGAGCCGACCUCUGCACUGUCACCCCACCAGCAUCCAGACACCGAGGCACAUAAAAAGCUGUAAAAUGCUGUUAGAAGCCAAACAGGGAAGGGAAAAAAGGCCGAGCUCAGUAACAUGAAGCUGUUGCUUCGAGCAGCAAAUUACAUUAAGUUAUUUAAUUAAAAAGCGAGGUGGAAAGCCUGUGAACUCCUCCCGGNNNNNNNNN